GGACCCACAGGAGGGGUCUGGGCAGGGCAGCGGUGUGAACGACCGAGGCUCCAACAGGACCUCUGGGAGGCGGCCACCGGUGAAGAAGACAUGCCAGUUAAGAUGUGGAUAUAUGGGAUGUGAUGUCUGGUGCCACAGCAGCCACUGGGACCCAUGAAGACAGGAGACGUGAAGAACCCAGAUAACCGAUCCAGGAACAGCCCCACAUCCAGACUUCCUGUUCUAAGAUUUAAUUAAAUGCCUUCACCGUUCCAGGCA
Leopardus geoffroyi (Geoffroy's cat) is the source of this 258-nucleotide long non-coding RNA. RefSeq lists it as uncharacterized. The record is from RefSeq and is a predicted model, not a curated record. NCBI's taxonomy places the organism in Eukaryota, Metazoa, Chordata, Mammalia, Carnivora, Felidae. The transcript is spliced from 2 exons.